AUGUCUUCUGGCGGUAACAGUUCAAAUGUGAAUAGAAAUUCUGGGAGUAGCAAUGUGAUUACUUUGAAUGAUUCUGACGAAGAAACCGAGGACAGCAAUUUGGGCAGCAGCUCGUCCACAAAUCUUUGCAAAGUAUGCGGAGCCGAAAAAGCUGCUCUUCACUACGGAGCACUGAGCUGUGUCGGAUGUAAAGGCUUCUUCCGUCGGGCUCUUCUGAAGGCUGAUCAACUGGAAUGUGCUGCAAAUGGAGAGUGUACAAGAAAACCCAAUGCAGAAGCUGUAGAUUCAAUAAGUGCCUACGCGAAGGAAUGAAUCCUGCUUAUGUCCGCCCAAACCGAGACGCACCUCCAAAGCCACGUAAGCCGACAACUACAGUAGCCACGUGCGAUCAAACUGAUCGUGGUAGGACCACAAAAAGCCGCGAGGAGUGGAUGAAAAAGAUGACGGUUGAGAUGAGAACAAUAUUAAUGACACUGUUGAAUAUUGAGACAAAAGUAAUGAAAGGAGAUACACAACAAGAAGCAUCAAAACUGUACCCGCUGAAAGGAAUUGAUAAGCUCAGUGAUAUCAUUGAAACACCGAUUCAAUUAAAAGGAAAACGAACAGAAAUGAGAUAUGAAGCAUACAGAAUGGCUGGAAAUGAUGAGUUAUGUGCAAUUGCCUAUCGGAGGUUGAUUGCUGCAAUUGAUUGGGUUGAAUCGCUGUCACCACUGUUGGGACACCUAACGCCUCAGGAUAAGAUAGCACUGGUCAAAUCUUCAUUCGCCCCACUUAUGGUCUUCAAUUUUUGUGCGAGAACAGCAGAAGCUUGUCAGGAUGAGAAUGUUCUAUGCCUUUGUAAUUUUGCAUAUGUUCCACGGAAUAUAUCAAAAAUGUAUGAGGACACAUAUCACCUCGGCAACGGACUCGUGGAACGUGCUCUAAAUGAGCUUGUAGCAGUAUAUCGGGAAUAUGGUAUGAGAGAAGAGGAAAUUGUUUGCGUGAAUGCAAUGAUUUGUCUGAAUCCUCUGGCAAAAGAUGUAUCGGAUUCUUUGUUUGAAAAGAUUGUUGAGCUGAGAAAUCGAAUUGCUGAUUGUCUUUUUUCAAUUGUUAAGGAGGUUCGAUUAAGUCCGACACCGAAUGUAUGUUACGGACAUAUACUUCUUUCAUUGGCUACUGUUACAGAACUAGCAAAUGCGAUGAGUGAAAAUCUCCAAUUUGCUCAAACAUUUUCAAAUCAAGGAGAAAUUCCACUUCUCACUGACUUAUUCGGCUGUUUCACAGUUGAACCAUUUUUCAAAGAAGUCGACGAGCUGGCGGCAAUGAGUUUGGAAAAGGCGAAAGCUGAAAAGAAGAAGGAAAUGAGUACACAAACUGAUAGGUUGCCUCCUCCAAGAGCAUUAUUGAAACGACAAGCAACUAUCGAUGAGGACAGCGAAGAACCUGCUCGACAGAAUUUUCGACUUUUGCAGCCUCCAAACAAUUUCUACAUUACUGAAAUGUUGGAUGAUUUGAGGAACAAUCACGCCGAGAAUCAUUUGAUAAGUCUCAACUUUGACGCUUCAAACGUUUCGAAUGCAAUCGCUUCGAGACCCAGUUUUGAGGAUUUGGGUACUGUACCAAGUGGUUCAACAGUAACACGACGAAUUGGGAGUAAUAUUCAAGGACCAUCCCACCUCCCUCAAUGUGGUUCUACAGUAACCCAAAGACCUACAGUACCCUCCUCCACAACAUCCUCCACAUUCUACAAUUUCCCUCCACCACCUGGUUAUCCACCAUUAAAUGCUGGAUACACACCGAAUGUCAACUAUCCGAAUUUGUAUCAACAACCACAGUAUUUCCAGAAUUUUCAGCAAAAUAAUUACCCAUCUCAAGUCAUGGAACAGCAAAAUUAUGGAAAUGUUGAAAGUACCAGUUACCCAUUUCCACGAAAUGAUGGUUUUGUGUAUAAUCAUCCGAAUAUUCCAUACUCACAUCAUAAUAAUAGUCUACAACAAAAUAAUUUUCAUAAUCAAUAUGCAAAUUAG
Molecule: unclassified non-coding RNA, 2006 nt
Filed under: Caenorhabditis elegans
Lineage: Eukaryota; Metazoa; Nematoda; Chromadorea; Rhabditida; Rhabditidae
Description: Non-coding transcript of protein-coding gene nhr-5
Source: RNAcentral